RNAcentral lists this long non-coding RNA (318 nucleotides) under Gallus gallus (chicken). Lineage: Eukaryota; Metazoa; Chordata; Aves; Galliformes; Phasianidae. The record is from RNAcentral.
UGUGUACCGACUGAGCCCGAGAAGAAACUUGUUUUGCACUGAAACCACUUUCCUACAUACGAGGGCACUCAGAGUAGCAGAGGCUGUGCCCAAGUGGCUUGAGGCUGCUCAGCACUACAUUGCCCUUUGCUCUCUCUCAUCAGGUAGGAUGAGGGACAGAACUGGAAAUGAAACAGAAACCGUGGGCUGAGAUAUUAACUAUUUACUACAAACGAAGAGGAAAAUGGUGUCAAAAAUACAACUACUCACCUACUGAUGUACUGCUGAUCAAGGCCCAGAACAGCAAAAUAGUAACCAGCUGCUCCAACUGCUAUCCAG